Molecule: long non-coding RNA, 466 nt
Organism: Nylanderia fulva
Lineage: Eukaryota; Metazoa; Arthropoda; Insecta; Hymenoptera; Formicidae
Source: RefSeq, a predicted model, not a curated record
CCGAUAUUCUUUGUUAAAUCUACAUGAAUCGAAAGAACUCCAAGUAAUGCUCCAAAUACACUUCAACAAACAAAUAAAUAUAAGUCGGAAAAACGUAAAAUUUGCGGUUGGAAUGUUCGUAAAACAUACAUAUAAUGUUAAUAGUUGUACAGGUGUAAUAAUUGGAUGGCACCGACAGGAUACAGUACAUCUAUUACGUGGAUCAAAAAAGACACGAAAAAGUUUAAUUAUUCUAACUUUACAAAUGAGCACGUGUGGUUAAUGCCGAUAAAUAAAUGUCAUUUUUUUCAAAGGAACGAAACAUAUUACAUAAUUCUAACGAACAAUGACGAACUUUGUUAUGUGGGAGAAGACGUUUUGAAAUUAACAACGCCGCAAUGGAUAGAGAAUAACGAAAUAGGUCGUUAUUUUCGUGCAUUUAACGGCACACAUUACGUACCAAAUGAAAGGUUGGCAACGAUUUAUC